UUCAUCAAGAGCAGCUGAGGGACUGGCCCGGUGACGCUGCGGCAACCUGCUAUUACAGAAAGGUGCCAAUUCCAACGGAAGGUUCCGGCAGAUGA
Molecule: non-coding RNA, 95 nt
Filed under: uncultured Caecibacter sp.
Lineage: Bacteria; Bacillati; Bacillota; Negativicutes; Veillonellales; Veillonellaceae
Description: SAM riboswitch (S box leader)
Rfam family: SAM riboswitch aptamer (S box leader)
About the family: The SAM riboswitch is found upstream of a number of genes which code for proteins involved in methionine or cysteine biosynthesis in Gram-positive bacteria. The SAM riboswitch acts at the level of transcription termination control. The predicted structure consists of a complex stem-loop region followed by a single stem loop terminator region.
Source: RNAcentral